AAAUUAGCCAAAACCUGCCCUUUUGCUGCAGCCCUGCAUCAUACAAAAGCCUGCACAAGACAACAAAAAUUUGCUUCAAACUUGCACUGAAAUGUCAAAACCAAACCUGCAUCUAAAAGAAAGAAAACAGCAUACCACUUUCAAAAAAAAACCUCUUCAAAUCUCUCCCAAACCCUAAUCUCAGGGGAUAUAAAAAGAGACAGCAUACAGGAGGAGGAGGAGGCAGCUACACUUGACUGCAGAAACCCUACAAAUUUCUCCCUCAAACCUCUGCCCAGAGACACAAAAAUACACCAAAAAUACAUACAAAUAUUUAUUUGCUUCUAAUACUACAAAUAUAGAGAAUCUGGACGCAGAGUAGUAGCAGAAAGUUCCACGAUACUUACCUUGGUGAAGCUUCAUCUGAAAGCCGUCGGUUUAAUGGCAGAAAGUAUACAAAAGCUUUUGAACAAGAAGAAAGCUAGCAGAUUGUGCUGCUCUUAUUGAACAAAGCUGCUACUUAUUAUUUAAUAGAAUCAGAACCUUUGUGUCUUUCUUUGACAUUGAGAAUCAUGAAAGAGCUAGAAUAAGACUUGCUAAGUUUAUGAAGCGUGGAUGGUGUAAUAUUUGGAUACAAUAACUACAGACCACUAUUCAUUUGGGACACUUCUAUCCGAAGAGCUUUAUGCCAGAGUUGAAGCAAUUCCCAGGGUUGUUAUGAUACCGAUAUAUGGCCUUAAUCUACAUUUCUAUUAUGAUAAAUGGCUUCAGAGUCAGAGCAGAGAACCCUUUUCCUACUGGUAAUUUAAUAUUCUUUGCUAAAUAUACCAUUGAUAUAUAUAUAUAUAUAUAUUAGCCAUUGAAUUCUCCUCUUUAGUUUUUCAUUUAUUAUGAGGUUUCACAUGGAUACUUGAAUAAAUAUGCUCAAAUAGUGCAUAAAUAAAAUUCCAAUAAAUGGAUGGGUAUUUUUUCCAUGGAUAUAAAAUACCCUGAAAACAAGAAAAAAUCUCAUUAAACCAGCAAUCACUGAACUUAUUUUCAAAGAUGAAAUUUGGCACAAAGGCACUAAAACAUGCCACUAGAGAAUUUGACAUGAGUAUAGCCAUCCAAGCCUCUAAGGAGAAGUAAAGAAAACCAUCAAUGUCUUUCCUUAAUCCUACUAGCCAAUAGUGAACAAAAGACCAACCAUUUGUCCUACUAGCCAAUAGUGAACAAAAGACCAAACAUUUGUAGGAAAGGAAAGAAAAAAACACAAGUGUAUUUGCUAAUACAUAUGAAGAAACUCUAAGCUCCACUUUAAGUCUCUCUUAUAAAAGUUUUCUCUUCCAAUAGGUAAACCUUUUGUUGUUAUUUGACAAUAAUAAAUAGUCUUAUGACAAAAAAUAUAAAAUUAUUGUAAUUUUAUAUUUUAAUGUUUUUAAAUCAUUUUAUAAAAAUCCUACAAUCAGGUAAUAAAAUUUUAAUUUAAACAUAUAACACUUAUUUUGGUAGGUCUCAAUAACACAUCGAGUAAUUUUAUAUUUGCGUAAAAUAUUAUAUGAUAACCAAUAUAGUAUUAUUUUAACUACCAUAAAAGCCUUAUAAAGUUUAUUUUUUGUUAAAUUAAACGUUAUUGAACUAUAUUACAUUACCUAAAUAUUAUAAUACAAAUAUUAAUUGAUCCUCCCUAUCCCAAAUAUAGAUUAAAUUCUUGAUUACAAUUCACAACAAAUCUCAUGUAUCCUGUAAUACUAAAUUAAAUAUCUAUAUUAAAUAAUAAUAUAAAAUCAAACUUAGUGUAGGAAAAUGUUGAGGUAAACCCUUACCUAUGCAUCAUAAGAUGAGAAACCCUUACCGACCAUCUCAUGAACAAGAACAAGAGCCUGAUGAAAGUUCUUGUCUUUUAAAAAAACCCAUUCACAUUAAGGACUCAAUCCAUUUAAAUCCUUCUCCUCAAUCACUUCCAUCGUCUCAUUCAUCCUCCCUUGACUACAAAAACCUUUAAUAACCGCAUUAUAAGAAAUAAAAUUGGGCUCAACUCGUUUCUUAGCCAUUAUCUUCGACAAAACAAACGCAUCCUCAACAUUAUUCUCUUUACAAUAAGCAGUUCACAUAGUACUAUGAGUCACCACAUUAGGCAAACAGCCUUUGUCUCCAUCUCAUUCAUGAAACGAAGAUCAAAAUCUAAUUUCCCCGCAGAAACAAUUCCGUGGUUCGUUACAUUAGAGGGGAGGGGAGGGAUUUUAAUGGAGGGAAGGAGAGAGGAGGGAAGGGGAGGGAA
Molecule: long non-coding RNA, 2239 nt
Organism: Vicia villosa (hairy vetch)
Lineage: Eukaryota; Viridiplantae; Streptophyta; Magnoliopsida; Fabales; Fabaceae
Exons: 4
Source: RefSeq, a predicted model, not a curated record